RNAcentral lists this transfer RNA (73 nucleotides) under Bos taurus (domestic cattle). It matches the Rfam family "tRNA". Rfam says of the family: Transfer RNA (tRNA) molecules are approximately 80 nucleotides in length. Their secondary structure includes four short double-helical elements and three loops (D, anti-codon, and T loops). The record is from Rfam by way of RNAcentral. Lineage: Eukaryota; Metazoa; Chordata; Mammalia; Artiodactyla; Bovidae.
UCCCUCAUGGCUCAGAUGGUAAAAGUAUCUGCUUGCAAUGCAGGAAACCCGGGUUCGAUCUCUGGAUGGGGAA